RNAcentral lists this long non-coding RNA (745 nucleotides) under Homo sapiens (human). RNAcentral's name for it is "long intergenic non-protein coding RNA 1791". The record is from RNAcentral. Lineage: Eukaryota; Metazoa; Chordata; Mammalia; Primates; Hominidae.
AUUCCGAGAUUGUGUGCUGAGGGUUUUCAACUGCAUCUCUAAAGGGAAGGCCAAAGAAAGAGCAACAGGAAAGGAUGGUAAAAAGGGGGUAGAAAGGAAGAAGGAAGGGAAGAAAAAAGGGAAAACAGCAAGCUCUCUUUCCAGAGCCACACAUUUUUUUCUGUUUGCUCAGUGGCAGUCUGUUAAAGAAAUACUUCAUUGUCACUGAACACAGAGUCAUUAAAGGCACCUUGGAAAUUUGGACCCUUUUACUAGAAUCAGGGCUUAAAUAGCAACUUAAUUUAUGACACUUCUCGAGGCUGAUGGCGUUUUUGCUCUAAGGAAUUCACAGGGCAAAAGGUACAGAAGGAAACUGUGCUCCAGGGUGAGACAUGUCAUCAGAAGGCUGUCAUCUGGACCUUGGAGGAAGGACAGGCAUGGAAACCUUGUUCCACACAUUGCCUGGUGCCCUGUCCAGCGCUGCAAGGUGCACUGCGUCUCCUCUGCCCAGCAAGCCACAAGCCCCUCCAGGGUGAGAGGAGAGCCUUCCCUUCCCUUGGUCCUCCCUUCGACACAGGGAGCUGGAGCUGGACAGCCCCAUAGGCACUCAGGGCUUGAAGAAGAUAUCUAGAAAUGUCAAAGCAGAAGAGCCUCGGAGAUAAUCUGAACUAUUUCUGAGUUUAUAUAAGGGAAAACUGAGACUGGAGAGAACUAACAUGUCUAAUAUUACAAUGGAAACUUGUAAUAAAACCACAAAUUGAGUCAA